AAAAGAACUUUGAAAAGAGAGUUAAAAAGUGCGUGAAACCGUUGGAAGGGAAGCGAAUAGAGCUGGAAAUUCACCUUGUGCUUAUCUUUCUAGACGAGCCUUGUGCGCUCGCAUUGCCGGGGCGGUGCACUUUCGGUUGGCGAACGUCAACGUCGGUUUGCGCGGAGUCAAAAAGCCGCAAGUGCGGUAGGUCUCUCGGGAUCGGUAAGACUUGCGUGCAAAUAGCUUCAUGUAGACCGCGUACUGCCGCAGCACGUGCCUGUAGGCGGCUGUGUUCUUCGUUGUGUCGGCGUAUUGUCGCUCGACGGACGGCUUUGCCUGUGCGUCGGGUGCGACCGUCAAAACGAUGGGCAACAGACACACGACGUGCUGAGGACGUUGGCCGCUCGGCGGUUCUAUCCGACCCGUCUUGAAACACGGACCAAGGAGUCUAUCAUGUGCGCAAGUCUCAGAGUGAUCGAAACUCGUUGGGCGUAAUGAAAGUGAAUGCAGUCUCGGCUGCAGAGAUGAGAGGCCGUAGCGGCGGCAUCAUCGACCGACCUAUUCUACUCCUAGAAAGGUUUGAGUUAGAGCGUACCUGUUGGGACCCGAAAGAUGGUGAACUAUGCCUGAAUAGGGCGAAGCCAGCGGAAACACUGGUGGAAGCCCGUAGCGAUUCUGACGUGCAAAUCGAUCGUCGAAUUUUGGUAUAGCGGCGAAAGACUAAUCGAACCAUCUAGUAGCUGGUUCCCUCCGAAGUUUCUCACAGGAUAGCUGGAGCUCGGUGGCAGUUU
Molecule: ribosomal RNA, 773 nt
Filed under: Perissogorgia monile
Lineage: Eukaryota; Metazoa; Cnidaria; Anthozoa; Scleralcyonacea; Primnoidae
Description: eukaryotic LSU rRNA
Rfam family: Eukaryotic large subunit ribosomal RNA
Source: RNAcentral